This 531-nucleotide ribosomal RNA is filed under the name Salmonella enterica. RNAcentral describes it as "partial 23S ribosomal RNA". It matches the Rfam family "Bacterial large subunit ribosomal RNA", at positions 661 to 1190 of the family's 2925-position model. The record is from RNAcentral. Lineage: Bacteria; Pseudomonadati; Pseudomonadota; Gammaproteobacteria; Enterobacterales; Enterobacteriaceae.
GGGAGCCGGAGGGAAACCGAGUCUUAAUUGGGCGUUAAGUUGCAGGGUAUAGACCCGAAACCCGGUGAUCUAGCCAUGGGCAGGUUGAAGGUUGGGUAACACUAACUGGAGGACCGAACCGACUAAUGUUGAAAAAUUAGCGGAUGACCUGUGGCUGGGGGUGAAAGGCCAAUCAAACCGGGAGAUAGCUGGUUCUCCCCGAAAGCUAUUUAGGUAGCGCCUCGUGAAUUCAUCUCCGGGGGUAGAGCACUGUUUCGGCCAGGGGGCCAUCCCGGCUUACCAAUCCGAUGCAAACUGCGAAUACCGGAGAAUGUUAUCACGGGAGACACACGGCGGGUGCUAACGUCCGUCGUGAAGAGGGAAACAACCCAGACCGCCAGCUAAGGUCCCAAAGUCAUGGUUAAGUGGGAAACGAUGUGGGAAGGCCCAGACAGCCAGGAUGUUGGCUUAGAAGCAGCCAUCAUUUAAAGAAAGCGUAAUAGCUCACUGGUCGAGUCGGCCUGCGCGGAAGAUGUAACGGGGCUAAACCAU